AUCGUUGCCCGAUGCCUAUUGCAGUGCAAUAGGAAUUUCUAGGGCGAAUGAUGGCUUCCCGUGAGCGUUGUUGCCUCGCGGUUGGUUGAAAAUCGAGUCCUUGGUGGGGUGUGCCACGAUAGAUGGUGGUCGAGUUUGCACGAUACCGUUCGUGUGCAUGCUCCCCAAAAUAUGGCCUCUAUGACCCACACGCGUCUUUUGACGCACA
Molecule: unclassified non-coding RNA, 208 nt
Filed under: Astragalus nuttallianus
Lineage: Eukaryota; Viridiplantae; Streptophyta; Magnoliopsida; Fabales; Fabaceae
Source: RNAcentral